Molecule: ribosomal RNA, 109 nt
Filed under: uncultured eukaryote
Lineage: Eukaryota
Description: partial small subunit ribosomal RNA
Source: RNAcentral
UCGCACCUACCGAUUGGAUGGUCCGGUGAAGCCUCGGGAUUGUGACCAGUGCCUUUAUUGGUGUUGGUCGCCGAGAACUUGUCCAAACCUUAUCAUUUAGAGGAAGGUG